UAAUACGGAGGAUCCAAGCGUUAUCCGGAAUCAUUGGGUUUAAAGGGUCCGCAGGCGGUCUUUUAAGUCAGAGGUGAAAGCCUACAGCUCAACUGUAGAACGGCCUUUGAUACUGAAAGACUUGAGUUAUUGUGAAGUGAUUAGAAUGUGUGGUGUAGCGGUGAAAUGCAUAGAUAUCACACAGAAUACCGAUUGCGAAGGCAGAUCACUAACAAUAUACUGACGCUCAUGGACGAAAGCGUGGGGAGCGAACAGGAUUAGAUACCCUGGUAGUCCACGCCGUAAACGAUGGAUACUAGCUGUUCGUCUAACAUUGGUUAGAUGAGUGGCUAAGCGAAAGUGAUAAGUAUCCCACCUGGGGAGUACGGUCGCAAGACUG
Molecule: ribosomal RNA, 379 nt
Filed under: uncultured Bacteroidota bacterium
Lineage: Bacteria; Pseudomonadati; Bacteroidota
Description: bacterial SSU rRNA
Rfam family: Bacterial small subunit ribosomal RNA
Source: RNAcentral